AUGGUUGAGAUGAAUUCGGUUACAGCAGUUAGCUGUUGGUUUUUGUUACAAGUUAGUUGGAAAUUCUGGCUGAACCGUGGACGGGCUAGGAGUUCCCUCCAUAACCGGCAUGCACACGUCCAUCAGAACCAAGUCAUAAGUACAGCGUUGUACUGCUCGCACGGCUUCAGCUCCAUUAGUGACAACAUCAAUGUUAUGACCCAACUGCUUCAUCAUGGAUUGUGUCACCAUGAUGUUGAUCUUGUUAUCUUCCACAAGAAGGAUCUUAGGCUUAGAUAUGGAUUUGGGUUACUUCUGAUUUACUACUUCUCCUGA
Molecule: non-coding RNA, 315 nt
Organism: Vicia faba (fava bean)
Lineage: Eukaryota; Viridiplantae; Streptophyta; Magnoliopsida; Fabales; Fabaceae
Source: the annotation of a GenBank genome assembly